RNAcentral lists this ribosomal RNA (497 nucleotides) under uncultured bacterium. RNAcentral's name for it is "partial 16S ribosomal RNA". It matches the Rfam family "Bacterial small subunit ribosomal RNA", at positions 28 to 507 of the family's 1533-position model. The record is from RNAcentral.
GAUGAACGCUGGCGGCGUGCCUAAUACAUGCCAGUCGAGCGAACAGACGCGGAGCUUGCUCCUCUGACGUUAGCGGCGGACGGGUGAGUAACACGUGGAUAACCUACCUAUAAGACUGGGAUAACUUCGGGAAACCGGAGCUAAUACCGGAUAAUAUAUUGAACCGCAUGGUUCAAUAGUGAAAGACGGUUUUGCUGUCACUUAUAGCUGGAUCCGCGCCGCAUUAGCUAGUUGGUAAGGUAACGGCUUACCAAGGCAACGAUGCGUAGCCGACCUGAGAGGGUGAUCGGCCACACUGGAACUGAGACACGGUCCAGACUCCUACGGGAGGCAGCAGUAGGGAAUCUUCCGCAAUGGGCGAAAGCCUGACGGAGCAACGCCGCGUGAGUGAUGAAGGUCUUCGGAUCGUAAAACUCUGUUAUUAGGGAAGAACAAAUGUGUAAGUAACUAUGCACGUCUUGACGGUACCUAAUCAGAAAGCCACGGCUAACUACGUG